RNAcentral lists this long non-coding RNA (387 nucleotides) under Gallus gallus (chicken). Lineage: Eukaryota; Metazoa; Chordata; Aves; Galliformes; Phasianidae. The record is from RNAcentral.
CUGGAGUUGGGAUGCUGACAAACCUCCAGAAGAUGACCCGUCAGAGGUCUCCAAAGAAUCUCAAUCCUGUGCAUGUUAACUAGUCCUGUUUCCAGUAAUUUAGCAACAGCAAAGAGAGAUGGCUCCUUAUUGUUUCCAUAGGCCAUAUCCAUGGCUUCCAGAGACAAGGAACAAAGGGCAUUUAUUAAGUGAUGCAAAGAUACAUCAUCAAGGUACUGCGAGCUUUCAAAAAGUCUUGAUAGUAUGUUGGAUAUAACUGGUAGAUCAGUCAUAACUGCUGUAGUCAGAACUGUGCUGGGCCCUUCUACAGCUCUUCCAGGUUUUAAGGCACCCCCAACACCGGGUUUCAGUCCCAGAAUCCACACAAGAUGCUGAAGAGUAGCCAAG